This is a long non-coding RNA of Mauremys reevesii (Reeves's turtle), 1325 nucleotides long. RefSeq lists it as uncharacterized. The transcript is spliced from 3 exons. Lineage: Eukaryota; Metazoa; Chordata; Testudines; Geoemydidae. The record is from RefSeq and is a predicted model, not a curated record.
CAAGAAAUAAGCCCUGGUAUGAUCUCACGCUGCCAAUAUAGAUGCCAUGGCAGAGAGUCACUAACCUCCGUCUGAAGCCCUCAACUUUGGGCCUGGAAACCCAAAUUAUUCUGAAGAGCUCAAGGAGAGUUUGCUGCAGAAACUGCCUCUGAGGAGACUGGAUCAAACCAGUCUGGAUUAGAAUUUGGCAGCCAGUGAAUGUCACGUUUGCAUGGGCAUUGAGGACUUCCUUCACCAUCUUACCUGAUCUAUCCCACCAAUCCGGGACCCAGAGGCAGGAAUUUCAGGUGAUGUCUCAGCGAGGACAACCAAUCCUCCAGGUCCCUCCCUGCAGCCCAGCAAGUUCCCCCAUCCCUGUCCCUCAUAUAAAGCAGUUGAGACCACAGAGGAUGUAUUCUGUCAUAGGACAUACAAGGAGAUGAUGAUUGGCUGUUAGAGCAUUUGGGUAAGUGGAUUUACUUGGAGUAAUUACAAGCUGAUGGAGUAGUCAUGCAGCAUAUCCUUCAGUUAAUAACCCUUUUCUUUUUUUCUUUUUCAGAUUGCAGUAGUGUAGUACUGAGGCAGCCCAUGGACUGCCAUGGCAACACCAGUAAAGACUUGUGAGGGAGAGGCCUGUAUUAGUGUGUCUGCAUUUCUGCUAACUAACCUUUGAUUUUUGUCUCUUACAUGUUUUGCAAGUGAGUCCCCAUGAGGCAGAGCGCAGGGGAUAGGGAAGAAGAAAAGAAGAAAGAAAGUUUAAGUGUACUAAAAAUAUUACUGAAAUUUGAUUUGUCUGGCCUUCUUUGCUGUUCUGGGGUUUGUGGGUUUGUGUGAGAGGCCUCCAGGAGGAACCAAGCAGAGCCAGGUAAUGCCUCCUCUGCUCUCAGACUUCUGCCAAAGGAUAGGUGGACAGGGCCAAAGCCCCUGUUGCCAGAUCCUGUAAUGUUAUUGCCAGUAACAUGAUUUUGGCCCCUGUUGCAAACAGGCUCAUUAUGACAAGAGAUUUCAUGGGAUUUUGAGACUGGUCUAGGGGAAAAACCCCUCUGACUAGCUGCCCUCACCAUUUCCUGAGGAAGAGUGGCUAAUCAGAGCUGCUGCGGGAGGCAGGCUGAGCUCGCUAUCCCUCCUCUCGUAAACUGACAAAAGGUUUUGGUGGGAGAAGGGGAGAGGGAGCAGGGGUGCCAUUUUCACAAGAGGUAAGGGAGGGGAGAGCAGAAAAAGCCCAGCACCAGCUCCCAUUUCCCCCUGCCUUCUUAUGAAAAAUAGGUCUGCUCCUCCUAGGGUGACCAGAUGUCUCAAUUUUAUAGGGACAGUCCCAAUUUUGGGGUCUUCUUCUUAAAUGGGCU